UACGGAGGGUGCAAGCGUUAUCCGGAUUUACUGGGUUUAAAGGGUGCGUAGGUGGGUAGGUAAGUCAGUGGUGAAAUCUUCAAGCUUAACUUGGAAACUGCCAUUGAUACUAUUUAUCUUGAAUACUCUGGAGGUAAGCGGAAUAUGUCAUGUAGCGGUGAAAUGCUUAGAUAUGACAUAGAACACCAAUUGCGAAGGCAGCUUACUACAUAGUUAUUGACACUGAGGCACGAAAGCGUGGGGAUCAAACAGG
RNAcentral lists this ribosomal RNA (253 nucleotides) under uncultured bacterium. RNAcentral describes it as "partial 16S ribosomal RNA". It matches the Rfam family "Bacterial small subunit ribosomal RNA", at positions 524 to 776 of the family's 1533-position model. The record is from RNAcentral.